AUUGAACGCUGGCGGCAGGCCUAACACAUGCAAGUCGAACGAGUGGCGGACGGGUGAGUAAUGUCUGGGAAAUUGCCUGAUGGAGGGGGAUAACUACUGGAAACGGUAGCUAAUACCGCAUACCAUCGGAUGUGCCCAGAUGGGAUUAGCUAGUUGGUGGGGUAAAGGCUCACCUAGGCGACGAUCCCUUGCUGGUCUGAGUGGAUGACCAGCCACACGGGAACUGAGACACGGUCCGAACUCCGACGGUAGGCAGCAGUGGGGAAUAUUGCACAAUGGGCGCAAGCCUGAUGCAGCCAUGCCGCGUGUAUGAAGAAGGCCUUCGGGUUGUAAAGUACUUUCAGCGGGGAGGCGUUACCCGCAGAAGAAGCACCGGCUAACUCCGUGCCAGCAGCCGCGGUAAUAC
RNAcentral lists this ribosomal RNA (406 nucleotides) under uncultured bacterium. RNAcentral's name for it is "partial 16S ribosomal RNA". It matches the Rfam family "Bacterial small subunit ribosomal RNA", at positions 30 to 526 of the family's 1533-position model. The record is from RNAcentral.